GACAUGAGAUCAGGCCAGCAAACCCGCUGAAUUUAAGCAUAUAAGUAAGCGGAGGACAGAAAACUAAACAGGAUUCCUUCAGUAAUGGCGAAUGAACAGGGAAUAGCUCAGCGUGAGAAUUGAGGCUUCCACGCCUUGACGUGUUGUCUGGAGAUGGACAUCCAACAUAGGUGCAGAUGAAAGUCUCUUGGAAGAGAGUGCCUGAGAGGGUGAGAGUCCCGUGUGACAUCUGUGUCCCUGUGUGUUCGGGUGUCUUUGCUGAGAGUCAUGUUUCUCGGGAUUGAAGCGUAAAAUUGGUGGUAAAUUCCAUCUAAAGCUAAAUAUUUACUCGAGACCGAUAGAAGACAAGUACCAUGAGGGAAAGAUGAAAAGGACUUUGGAAAGAGAGCUAACAGUGCCUGAACUUGCUGAAAGGAAAGCGAAUGGAACCAGCUAGAUGUGCAAGAUUGCAGUGUAAGAAACACUCUUUGUAAUGCCCUUAGCGCAAGCGGGGGUGCUACAGAGGUGUUGUUUCUUGCUCUGUGCUGCUUGCUGGCAGUGUCAUUCUCAGUGCUUCUGUAGGACAUCUGCUGUGAUGCUUGAACUUCAUUUGUGAAUGGAACGAAGCUCACCGUGGAGUCUACUGAGGUGCUGCUUUUUUGUGUUCCUUGCUCAGUUGAAACCUUCUGGUGAGAACCUUUUACGGGUCCUUUAUCAGGAGGCAGAUGCUUGCCUGAACACAAUCCUGAGUGGCAACGUGGUUCUAUUCUACCCGUCUUGAAACACGGACCAAGGAGUCUAACACGUGUGCAAGUUUCAAACUAACAAUGUUCUGUUGCGAAAUGAAAAUGAUUGCUGUGAUUGCAUUCAGCAGCUUCCAACCAAUUGCUUGUGAGAGGUUUGAGUGUGAGCACACUUGUUAGGACCCGAAAGAUGGUGAACUAUGCCUGAGAAGGGCAAGCUCAGGGGAAACUCUGAUGGAGGCUCGCAGCGUUACUGACGUGCAAAUCGUUCGUCAUACUUGGGUAUAGGGGCGAAAGACUAAUCGAACCAUCUAGUAGCUGGUUCCCUCCGAAGUUUCCCUCAGGAUAGCUGGAGCUAUAGAGUUUUAUCAAGUAAAGCGAAUGAUUAGAGGACUCGGGGGCGUGCUGUCCUCGACCUAUUCUCAAACUUUAAAUGGGUAAGAUCCAGUGGUUUCUUCUCUGAACUUCUGGGAUAAAUGUAAGCUCUAAGUGGGCCAUUUUUGGUAAGCAGAAUUGGCGAUGAGGGAUGAACCUAACGCUGUGUUAAGGUGCUGAACUGCUCGCUCAUCAGAUGCCACAAAGGGUGUUGGUUCAUUUUGACAGCAGGACGGUGGUCAUGGAAGUCGAAAUCCGCUAAGGAGUGUGUAACAACU
Molecule: ribosomal RNA, 1375 nt
Filed under: Esoptrodinium sp. RP
Lineage: Eukaryota; Dinophyceae; Gymnodiniales; Tovelliaceae
Description: eukaryotic LSU rRNA
Rfam family: Eukaryotic large subunit ribosomal RNA
Source: RNAcentral